GAUGAACGCUGGCGGCGUGCCUAAUACAUGCAAGUCGAGCGAACAGACGAGGAGCUUGCUCCUCUGACGUUAGCGGCGGACGGGUGAGUAACACGUGGAUAACCUAUCUAUAAGACUGGGAUAACUUCGGGAAACCGGAGCUAAUACCGGAUAAUAUAUUGAACCGCAUGGUUCAAUAGUGAAAGAUGGCUUUGCUGUCACUUAUAGAUGGAUCCGCGCCGCAUUAGCUAGUUGGUAAGGUAACGGCUUACCAAGGCAACGAUGCGUAGCCGACCUGAGAGGGUGAUCGGCCACACUGGAACUGAGACACGGUCCAGACUCCUACGGGAGGCAGCAGUAGGGAAUCUUCCGCAAUGGGCGAAAGCCUGACGGAGCAACGCCGCGUGAGUGAUGAAGGUCUUCGGAUCGUAAAACUCUGUUAUUAGGGAAGAACAAAUGUGUAAGUAACUAUGCACGUCUUGACGGUACCUAAUCAGAAAGCCACGGCUAACUACGUG
RNAcentral lists this ribosomal RNA (497 nucleotides) under uncultured bacterium. RNAcentral describes it as "partial 16S ribosomal RNA". It matches the Rfam family "Bacterial small subunit ribosomal RNA", at positions 28 to 507 of the family's 1533-position model. The record is from RNAcentral.